UUAAGUUAUUAAGGGCGCACGGUGGAUGCCUUGGCACUAGAAGCCGAUGAAGGACGUUACUAACGACGAUAUGCUUUGGGGAGCUGUAAGUAAGCUUUGAUCCAGAGAUUUCCGAAUGGGGAAACCCAGCAUGAGUUAUGUCAUGUUAUCGAUAUGUGAAUACAUAGCAUAUCAGAAGGCACACCCGGAGAACUGAAACAUCUUAGUACCCGGAGGAAGAGAAAGAAAAUUCGAUUCCCUUAGUAGCGGCGAGCGAAACGGGAAGAGCCCAAACCAAAAAGCUUGCUUGUUGGGGUUGUAGGACACUCUAUACGGAGUUACAAAGGACGACAUUAGACGAAUCAUCUGGAAAGAUGAAUCAAAGAAGGUAAUAAUCCUGUAGUCGAAAAUGUUGUCUCUCUUGAGUGGAUCCUGAGUACGACGGAGCACGUGAAAUUCCGUCGGAAUCUGGGAGGACCAUCUCCUAAGGCUAAAUACUCUCUAGUGACCGAUAGUGAACCAGUACCGUGAGGUAAAGGUGAAAAGCACCCCGGAAGGGGAGUGAAAUAGAACCUGAAACCGUGUGCUUACAAGUAGUCAGAGCCCGUUAAUGGGUGAUGGCGUGCCUUUUGUAGAAUGAACCGGCGAGUUACGAUUUGAUGCAAGGUUAAGCAGUAAAUGUGGAGCCGUAGCGAAAGCGAGUCUGAAUAGGGCGUUUAGUAUUUGGUCGUAGACCCGAAACCAGGUGAUCUACCCUUGGUCAGGUUGAAGUUCAGGUAACACUGAAUGGAGGACCGAACCGACUUACGUUGAAAAGUGAGCGGAUGAACUGAGGGUAGCGGAGAAAUUCCAAUCGAACCUGGAGAUAGCUGGUUCUCUCCGAAAUAGCUUUAGGGCUAGCCUCAAGUGAUGAUUAUUGGAGGUAGAGCACUGUUUGGACGAGGGGCCCCUCUCGGGUUACCGAAUUCAGACAAACUCCGAAUGCCAAUUAAUUUAACUUGGGAGUCAGAACAUGGGUGAUAAGGUCCGUGUUCGAAAGGGAAACAGCCCAGACCACCAGCUAAGGUCCCAAAAUAUAUGUUAAGUGGAAAAGGAUGUGGCGUUGCCCAGACAACUAGGAUGUUGGCUUAGAAGCAGCCAUCAUUUAAAGAGUGCGUAAUAGCUCACUAGUCGAGUGACACUGCGCCGAAAAUGUACCGGGGCUAAACAUAUUACCGAAGCUGUGGAUUGUCCUUUGGACAAUGGUAGGAGAGCGUUCUAAGGGCGUUGAAGCAUGAUCGUAAGGACAUGUGGAGCGCUUAGAAGUGAGAAUGCCGGUGUGAGUAGCGAAAGACGGGUGAGAAUCCCGUCCACCGAUUGACUAAGGUUUCCAGAGGAAGGCUCGUCCGCUCUGGGUUAGUCGGGUCCUAAGCUGAGGCCGACAGGCGUAGGCGAUGGAUAACAGGUUGAUAUUCCUGUACCACCUAUAAUCGUUUUAAUCGAUGGGGGGACGCAGUAGGAUAGGCGAAGCGUGCGAUUGGAUUGCACGUCUAAGCAGUAAGGCUGAGUAUUAGGCAAAUCCGGUACUCGUUAAGGCUGAGCUGUGAUGGGGAGAAGACAUUGAGUCUUCGAGUCGUUGAUUUCACACUGCCGAGAAAAGCCUCUAGAUAGAAAAUAGGUGCCCGUACCGCAAACCGACACAGGUAGUCAAGAUGAGAAUUCUAAGGUGAGCGAGCGAACUCUCGUUAAGGAACUCGGCAAAAUGACCCCGUAACUUCGGGAGAAGGGGUGCUCUUUAGGGUUAACGCCCAGAAGAGCCGCAGUGAAUAGGCCCAAGCGACUGUUUAUCAAAAACACAGGUCUCUGCUAAACCGUAAGGUGAUGUAUAGGGGCUGACGCCUGCCCGGUGCUGGAAGGUUAAGAGGAGUGGUUAGCUUCUGCGAAGCUACGAAUCGAAGCCCCAGUAAACGGCGGCCGUAACUAUAACGGUCCUAAGGUAGCGAAAUUCCUUGUCGGGUAAGUUCCGACCCGCACGAAAGGCGUAACGAUUUGGGCACUGUCUCAACGAGAGACUCGGUGAAAUCAUAGUACCUGUGAAGAUGCAGGUUACCCGCGACAGGACGGAAAGACCCCGUGGAGCUUUACUGUAGCCUGAUAUUGAAAUUCGGCACAGCUUGUACAGGAUAGGUAGGAGCCUUUGAAACGUGAGCGCUAGCUUACGUGGAGGCGCUGGUGGGAUACUACCCUAGCUGUGUUGGCUUUCUAACCCGCACCACUUAUCGUGGUGGGAGACAGUGUCAGGCGGGCAGUUUGACUGGGGCGGUCGCCUCCUAAAAGGUAACGGAGGCGCUCAAAGGUUCCCUCAGAAUGGUUGGAAAUCAUUCAUAGAGUGUAAAGGCAUAAGGGAGCUUGACUGCGAGACCUACAAGUCGAGCAGGGUCGAAAGACGGACUUAGUGAUCCGGUGGUUCCGCAUGGAAGGGCCAUCGCUCAACGGAUAAAAGCUACCCCGGGGAUAACAGGCUUAUCUCCCCCAAGAGUUCACAUCGACGGGGAGGUUUGGCACCUCGAUGUCGGCUCAUCGCAUCCUGGGGCUGUAGUCGGUCCCAAGGGUUGGGCUGUUCGCCCAUUAAAGCGGUACGCGAGCUGGGUUCAGAACGUCGUGAGACAGUUCGGUCCCUAUCCGUCGUGGGCGUAGGAAAUUUGAGAGGAGCUGUCCUUAGUACGAGAGGACCGGGAUGGACAUACCUCUGGUGUACCAGUUGUCGUGCCAACGGCAUAGCUGGGUAGCUAUGUGUGGACGGGAUAAGUGCUGAAAGCAUCUAAGCAUGAAGCCCCCCUCAAGAUGAGAUUUCCCAACUUCGGUUAUAAGAUCCCUCAAAGAUGAUGAGGUUAAUAGGUUCGAGGUGGAAGCAUGGUGACAUGUGGAGCUGACGAAUACUAAUCGAUCGAAGACUUAAUCAA
RNAcentral lists this ribosomal RNA (2921 nucleotides) under Staphylococcus aureus DAR948. Its description in RNAcentral is "bacterial LSU rRNA". It matches the Rfam family "Bacterial large subunit ribosomal RNA". The record is from RNAcentral. Lineage: Bacteria; Bacillati; Bacillota; Bacilli; Caryophanales; Staphylococcaceae.